UUUCUGCCCUAUCAACUUGUUGGUAAGGUAUUGGCUUACCAAGGUUGCAACGGGUAACGGGGAAUCAGGGUUCGAUUCCGGAGAGGGAGCCUGAGAAACGGCUACCACAUCCAAGGAAGGCAACAGGCGCGCAAAUUACCCAAUCUAGACAGUAGGAGGUGGCGAAGAGAAUUACUAAGUGGUGACUCUAUGAGUUACCAGCUUGGAAUGAACGUAACUUAAGAAAUUCGAUGAGAAACAACUGGAGGGCAAGUCCUGGUGCCAGCAGCCGCGGUAAUUCCAGCUCCAGUAGUCUGAUUUAAAGUUGUUGCGUUUAAAACGCUCGUAGUUGGAUCACGAAGCAGUACCGAGCCUUCGACUUGCAGACUUUCUAGGAAGGUGUUCGUUUCGUGCGACCCUGAUUAGGAACGAUGCGGUUGAAAUUCAUGCUCAGUGCUGCUAGUUGCACGUGAGAUGGAGUGUUGGCCUUAAAUGAGCCGGUAUUCCCGUCUUGCGGAGUGUGCCUUGAAUAAAACAGAGUGCUUAAAGCAGGUUUUUGCCUGAAUGUUAUAGCAUGGAACGAACAAUCGUGUAUAUGCACGCAUUUUCGAAGACGGUAGGUUUUUGACCUGCCGUAUUAGGAUUUGCGCGCGGCACCCACCAAAAUAUGGCUGUUGGUUCCAUAUACGGUGAUGAUUAAAAGGAGCGGUUGGAGGCAUCGGUAUUUGGCCGCGAGAGGUGAAAUUCUUAGACCGGCCAAGGACUAACAAAUGCAAAGGCACUUGUCUAGACCGUUUCCAUUAAUCAAGAACGAAAGUGGGAGGUUCGAAGACGAUCAGAUACCGUCCUAGUUCCCACUGUAAACUAUGCCGACCUGGGAUCAGUCUAGAGAUGUUGCAAGCUCUAGAUUGGUCCCCCUGGGAAACCUUAAGUUUUUCGGUUACGGGGAGAGUAUGGUCGCAAGGCUGAAACUUAAAGGAAUUGACGGAAGGGCACCACCAGGGGUGGAGCCUGCGGCUUAAUUUGACUCAACACGGGGAAACUUACCUGGUCCGGACAUCUAUGGGAUAAACAGACUAAUAGAUCUUUUUUGAUGAGAUGAGUGGUGGUGCAUGGCCGUUCUUAGUUCGUGGAGUGAUCUGUCAGCCUAAUUGCGGUAACGAACGAGACC
This 1150-nucleotide ribosomal RNA is filed under the name Myxobolus ticto. RNAcentral describes it as "bacterial SSU rRNA". It matches the Rfam family "Eukaryotic small subunit ribosomal RNA", at positions 304 to 1342 of the family's 1831-position model. Lineage: Eukaryota; Metazoa; Cnidaria; Myxozoa; Bivalvulida; Myxobolidae. The record is from RNAcentral.